This 428-nucleotide ribosomal RNA is filed under the name uncultured bacterium. Its description in RNAcentral is "partial 16S ribosomal RNA". It matches the Rfam family "Bacterial small subunit ribosomal RNA", at positions 354 to 796 of the family's 1533-position model. The record is from RNAcentral.
GUGGGGAAUAUUGGGCAAUGGGCGCAAGCCUGACCCAGCAACGCCGCGUGAAGGAAGAAGGCUUUCGGGUUGUAAACUUCUUUUACCAGGGACAAAACAAAUGACGGUACCUGGUGAAUAAGCCACGGCUAACUACGUGCCAGCAGCCGCGGUAAUACGUAGGUGGCGAGCGUUAUCCGGAUUUAUUGGGUGUAAAGGGCGUGUAGGCGGGACAGCAAGUCAGAUGUGAAAACCAGAGGCUCAACCUCUGGCCUGCAUUUGAAACUGUUGUUCUUGAGUGUCGGAGAGGUAAUCGGAAUUCCGUGUGUAGCGGUGAAAUGCGUAGAUAUACGGAGGAACACCAGUGGCGAAGGCGGAUUACUGGACGAUAACUGACGCUGAGGCGCGAAAGCGUGGGGAGCAAACAGGAUUAGAUACCCUAGUAGUCC